Molecule: long non-coding RNA, 540 nt
Filed under: Phoenix dactylifera (date palm)
Lineage: Eukaryota; Viridiplantae; Streptophyta; Magnoliopsida; Arecales; Arecaceae
Description: long non-coding RNA (PDAC_LNC022076)
Source: RNAcentral
AGUCCUUGUGUCUUUAAAGAGUCCUAGUUAUUUGGAAGUCUUAGUUGGUUUAGUGGAUUUCGUCGGUCGAUUUGAUCAGUCGAUUUGGUCGAUCGAUUUCGUUGGUCGAUUUCGUCGGCCGAUUUCCUCGGCCGAUUUCGUCGGCCGAUUUCCUCGGCCGAUUUCGUCGGCCGAUUUUCUCGGCCGAUUUCGUAACUGAUUUCGUGAGUUGAUUUGAUUUAAAAGAGUCCAUGUUUAGUUGGAGUCCUAAAAUUCUGAUUGUAAGAGUCCAUAUUUUUCCAACCUCUUACUCUAUAUAAAGGAGAGAUUGAAGAAUAAAAUUAGAGAAUAAAUUUUGGCUUUCAAUUGCUCUUGAAAUUAAGAGGCGUGAGGCUUCUUCUUCCUCCUUUGGUGAGACUCCAAAGGUUCCUUCUUCCUAGGUGAGACACCUUGAAAACCUUUGGAGAUUCUUCAUUGGUAGAAGCUAGAAAGGUAAGACUCCUUCUUCAUGCCAACCCCGGAUUCUUGAGCGAAGGUAAGACUCUUUCAAUCAAGACCUAA